Molecule: ribosomal RNA, 1827 nt
Filed under: Lentomitella obscura
Lineage: Eukaryota; Fungi; Ascomycota; Sordariomycetes; Xenospadicoidales; Xenospadicoidaceae
Description: eukaryotic LSU rRNA
Rfam family: Eukaryotic large subunit ribosomal RNA
Source: RNAcentral
GGUUGACCUCGGAUCAGGUAGGAAUACCCGCUGAACUUAAGCAUAUCAAUAAGCGGAGGAAAAGAAACCAACAGGGAUUGCCUCAGUAACGGCGAGUGAAGCGGCAACAGCUCAAAUUUGAAAUCUGGCCCAGCGCCCGAGUUGUAAUUUGUAGAGGAUGCUUUAGGCGCGGCGCCUUCCGAGUUCCCUGGAACGGGACGCCACAGAGGGUGAGAGCCCCGUAUGGUCGGACGCCAAGCCACUGUAAAGCUCCCUCGACGAGUCGAGUAGUUUGGGAAUGCUGCUCAAAAUGGGAGGUAAAUUUCUUCUAAAGCUAAAUACCGGCCAGAGACCGAUAGCGAAAAAGUAGAGUGAUCGAAAGAUGAAAAGCACUUUGAAAAGAGGGUUAAACAGCACGUGAAAUUGUUGAAAGGGAAGCGCCUGUGACCAGACCUGCGCCCUGGGGAUCAUCCGGCGUUCUCGCCGGUGCACUCCGCUGGGCUGCAGGCCAGCAUCGGUUCUCCUAGGGGGAUAAAAGCACUGGGAACGUGGCUCCUUAGGGAGUGUUAUAGCCCGUUGCACAAUACCCUUGGGGGGACCGAGGUACGCGCUCCGCAAGGAUGCUGGCGUAAUGGUCAUCAGCGACCCGUCUUGAAACACGGACCAAGGAGUCAAGCAUUAGGGCGAGUGUUUGGGUGCAAAACCCGCACGCGAAAUGAAAGUGAACGCAGGUGAGAGCUUCGGCGCAUCAUCGACCGAUCCUGAUGUUCUCGGAUGGAUUUGAGUAAGAGCCUUACCGCUUGGACCCGAAAGAUGGUGAACUAUGCCUGUAUAGGGUGAAGCCAGAGGAAACUCUGGUGGAGGCUCGCAGCGGUUCUGACGUGCAAAUCGAUCGUCAAAUAUGGGCAUGGGGGCGAAAGACUAAUCGAACUAUCUAGUAGCUGGUUACCGCCGAAGUUUCCCUCAGGAUAGCAGUGUUGUUUUCAGUUUUAUGAGGUAAAGCGAAUGAUUAGGGACUCGGGGGCGCUAUUUUGCCUUCAUCCAUUCUCAAACUUUAAAUAUGUAAGAAGCCCUUGUUACUUUGUUGAACGUGGGCCUUCGAAUGCAGCAACACUAGUGGGCCAUUUUUGGUAAGCAGAACUGGCGAUGCGGGAUGAACCGAACGCGGGGUUAAGGUGCCAGAGUGGACGCUCAUCAGACACCACAAAAGGCGUUAAUACAUCUUGACAGCAGGACGGUGGCCAUGGAAGUCGGAAUCCGCUAAGGACUGUGUAACAACUCACCUGCCGAAUGUAUUAGCCCUGAAAAUGGAUGGCGCUCAAGCGUCCCACCCAUACCCCGCCCUCAGGGUAGAAACGAUGCCCUGAGGAGUAGGCGGCCGCGGGGGCGGUGACGAAGCCCAGGGCGUGAGCCCGGGUCGAACCGCCUCUGGUGCAGAUCUUGGUGGUAGUAGCAAAUACUUCAAUGAGAACUUGAAGGACCGAAGUGGGGAAAGGUUCCAUGUGAACAGCGGUUGGACGUGGGUUAGCCGAUCCUAAGCCAUAGGGAAGUUCCGUUUCAAAGGGGCACUCGUGCCCCGAAUGGCGAAAGGGAAGCAGGUCAAUAUUCCUGCGCCUGGAUGCGGGUUUUUCGCGGCAACGCAACCGAACGCGGAGACGGCGGCGGGGGCCCCGGGCAGAGUUCUCUUUUCUUCUUAACGGUCUGCCACCCUGAAAACAGUUUGUCUGGAGAUAGGGUCCCAUGGCCGGAAGAGCCCAGCACCUCUGCUGGGUCCGGUGCGCCCCCGACGUCCCUUGAAAAUCCGCGGGAGGGAAUAAUUCUCGCGCCAGGUCGUACUCAUAACCGCAG